GAUGAACGCUAGCGGCAGGCCUAACACAUGCAAGUCGAGGGGUGAUAUAGAAAAGCUUGCUUUUCUGAUGACGACCGGCGCACGGGUGCGUAACGCGUAUACAACCUACCUUUUAGCGGGGAAUAGCCCAGGGAAACUUGGAUUAAUGCCCCAUAGUAUAUGGACUUCUCCUGAAGUUUAUAUUAAACAUUUAUGGCUAUUAGAUGGGUAUGCGUCCUAUUAGUUAGUUGGUAAGGUAACGGCUUACCAAGGCAGCGAUAGGUAGGGGUCCUGAGAGGGAGAUCCCCACACUGGUACUGAGACACGGACCAGACUCCUACGGGAGGCAGCAGUGAGGAAUAUUGGACAAUGGGCGAGAGCCUGAUCCAGCCAUGCCGCGUGCAGGAAGACUGCCCUAUGGGUUGUAAACUGCUUUUACAGAGGAAGAACCACCCCCACGUGUGGGGGUUUGACGGUACUCUGCGAAUAAGGAUCGGCUAACUCCGUG
This 487-nucleotide ribosomal RNA is filed under the name uncultured bacterium. Its description in RNAcentral is "bacterial SSU rRNA". It matches the Rfam family "Bacterial small subunit ribosomal RNA", at positions 28 to 507 of the family's 1533-position model. The record is from RNAcentral.